This 611-nucleotide long non-coding RNA is filed under the name Salmo salar (Atlantic salmon). RNAcentral's name for it is "lncRNA (ENSSSAG00000083914.1)". Lineage: Eukaryota; Metazoa; Chordata; Actinopteri; Salmoniformes; Salmonidae. The record is from RNAcentral.
AGAGAUGGUAGGUGCGGGUCUAUGGUGGUGUAGAGAUGGUAGGUGGUGGUGUAGAGAUGGUAGGUGGUGGUCUGUGGUGGUGUAGAGAUGGUCUGUGGUGGUGUAGAGAUGGUAGGUGGGGGUCUGUGGUGGUGCAGAGAUGGUAGGUAGUGGUCUGUUGUGGUGUAGAGAUGGUAGGUGGUGGUCUGUGGUGGUGUAGAGAUGGUAGAUGGUGGUGUAGAGAUGGUAGGUGGGGGUCUAUGGUGGUGUAGAGAUUGUAGAGGGUGGUGUAGAGAUGGUAGGUGGGGGUCUGUGGUGGUGUAGAGAUGGUAGGUGGUGGUGUAGAAAUGGUAGGUGGUGGUCUGUGGUGGUGUAGAGAUGGUAGGUGGUGGUUUAGAGAUGGUAGGUGGUGGUCUGUGGUGGUGUAGAGAUGGUAGGUGGGGGUCUGUGGUGGUGCAGAGAUGGUAGGUGGUGGUCUGUGGAUGUGUCGAGAUGGUAGGUGGUGGUCGGUGGUGGUGUAGAGAUGGUAGGUGGGGGUCUGUGGUGGUGUAGAGAUGGAAGGUGAUGGAGUAGAGAUGGUAGGUGGUGGUCUGUGGUGGUGUAGAGAUUUUAGGUGGUGGUCUGUGGUGGUG